AACGAACGCUGGCGGCAGGCCUAACACAUGCAAGUCGAACGCGCGUAGCAAUACGCGAGUGGCGCACGGGUGAGUAACACGUGGGAACCAACCCAGAGGUUCGGAAUAACCGCGGGAAACUGCGGCUAAUACCGGAUACUCCCCCGAAGGGGGAAAGAUUUAUCGCCUCUGGACGGGCCCGCGUCCGAUUAGCUGGUUGGUGAGGUAAUGGCUCACCAAGGCGACGAUCGGUAGCUGGUCNGAGAGGACGACCAGCCAACA
This 261-nucleotide ribosomal RNA is filed under the name uncultured bacterium. RNAcentral's name for it is "partial 16S ribosomal RNA". It matches the Rfam family "Bacterial small subunit ribosomal RNA", at positions 29 to 312 of the family's 1533-position model. The record is from RNAcentral.